Molecule: ribosomal RNA, 717 nt
Filed under: uncultured fungus
Lineage: Eukaryota; Fungi
Description: SSU rRNA
Rfam family: Eukaryotic small subunit ribosomal RNA
Source: RNAcentral
CGUGUGGUUCUAUUUUGUUGGUUAUGGGACCGCCGUAAUGAUUAAUAGGGACAGUCGGGGGCAUCAGUAUUCAAUUGUCAGAGGUGAAAUUCUUGGAUUUAUUGAAGACUAACUACUGCGAAGGCAUUUGCCAAGGAUGUUUUCAUUAAUCAGGAACGAAAGUUAGGGGAUCGAAGACGAUCAGAUACCGUCGUAGUCUUAACCAUAAACUAUGCCGACUAGGGAUCGGGCGAUGUUACUUUUUGACUCGCUCGGCACCUUACGAGAAAUCGAAGUUUGUGGGUUCCUGGGGGAGUAUGGUGGCAACGCUGAAACUUAAAGAAAUUGACGGAAGGGCACCACCAGGGGUGGAGCCUGCGGCUUAAUUUGACUCAACACGGGGAAACUCACCAGGUCCAGACACAAUGAGGAUUGACAGAUUGAGAGCUCUUUCUUGAUUUUGUGGGUGGUGGUGCAUGGCCGUUCUUAGUUGGUGGAGUGAUUUGUCUGCUUAAUUGCGAUAACGAACGAGACCUUAACCUGCUAAAUAGCCCGUGUUGCUUCUGCAGCACGCCGGCUUCUUAGAGGGACUAUCGGCUCAAGCCGAUGGAAGUUUGAGGCAAUAACAGGUCUGUGAUGCCCUUAGAUGUUCUGGGCCGCACGCGCGCGACACUGACAGGGCCAGCGAGUUCUCCCUUGUCCGAAAGGACCGGGUAAUCUUGUUAAACUCUGUCGUGC